CGGUAAUUCCAGCUCCAAUAGCGUAUACUAAAGUUGUUGCAGUUAAAAAGCUCGUAGUUGGAUUUCUGCGGGGACGGAGCGGCCGGACGCAACUUGCGUCUCGAGCUAGCGCUUUCCCCGCAUCCUGCCGCGAACCGUGCUACCAUUAGCUUGGUGGCGCUGGGGAUCGGCUCGAUUACUUUGAGAAAAAUAGAGUGUUCAAAGCAGGCCACACGCCUUGAAUAAGUUAGCAUGGAAUAAUGACUAAGGACUUCGGUUCUAUUUUGUUGGUGUUCGGGACUGAAGUAAUGAUUGAUAGGGACAGUUGGGGCGGUCUGUAUUCCAAAGCGAGAGGUGAAAUUCUUAGACCUUCGGAAGACAAACAGCUGCGAAAGCGUUCCGCAAGGAUGUUCCCUUUGAUCAAGAACGAAAGUUGGGGGAUCGAAGACGAUCAGAUACCGUCGUAGUCUCAACUAUAAACUAUACCAGCUAGGGAUCGGUCAACGUUUAAUCAUUCGACUUGAUCGGCACCUUAUGAGAAAUCAAAGCAUCUGGGUUCCGGGGGGAGUAUGGUCGCAAGGCUGAAACUUAAAGGAAUUGACGGAAGGGCACCACCAGCCGUGGAGCCUGUGGCUUAAUUUGACUCAACACGGGAAAACUUACCAGGUCCAGACAUAGUAAGGAUUGACAGAUUGAUAGCUCUUUCUUGAUUCUGUGGGUGGUGGUGCAUGGCCGUUCUUAGUUGGUGGAGUGAUUUGUCUGGUUAAUUCCGUUAACGAACGAGACCCCAGCCUGCUAAAUAGCGCGGCUGAGCUUUGCUCGGUGCGAGCUUCUUAGAGGGACUAUGAUGCGCGAUAGCACAUGGAAGUUUGGGGCAAUAACAGGUCUGUGAUGCCCUUAGAUGUUCUGGGCCGCACACGGGCUACACUGGCGCCUGCAACGAGCAUAUCAGCUGGCCCGAGAGGGUCUUGGCUAAUCUUUUGAACCGGCGCCGUGCUUGGGAUUGACCAUUGCAAUUGUUGGUCAUGCAACGAGGAAUGCCUUGUAAACGCGAGUCAUCAGCUCGCAUUGAAUACGUCCCUGCCCUUUGUACACACCGCCCGUCGCUCCUACCGAUGAAUGUUCCGAUGAAAUUUUCGGAGAGCGCCAGAGAACGGGGCUCUGCCUUGCAGAUCUGGAGGCUCAAAGUCACUUAAAUCUGAACAUUUCGAGGAAGGAGAAGUCGUAACAAGGUAGCC
RNAcentral lists this ribosomal RNA (1217 nucleotides) under uncultured Rhizaria. RNAcentral describes it as "SSU rRNA". It matches the Rfam family "Eukaryotic small subunit ribosomal RNA", at positions 577 to 1804 of the family's 1831-position model. The record is from RNAcentral.